Molecule: small RNA, 405 nt
Filed under: Histoplasma capsulatum var. duboisii H88
Lineage: Eukaryota; Fungi; Ascomycota; Eurotiomycetes; Onygenales; Ajellomycetaceae
Description: Histoplasma capsulatum H88 hypothetical RNA
Source: RNAcentral
UUGCCAGUCAGGUCGACCAGACAGGGCGUUGUUGUCCUCAACGGUGGUAGCCACGGUGGGAGUAGUCCGUGGUUUGGGGUGGAGUUUUCUGAGAUGUGAAGGUGGCCAAGCGUGUUUCGUCACUUUCAGACCAUCACGAUGUCUUCCACAGCCACAACCACGCUGGGGUGUCGACUGAGCCGGGAACUUGCGACGUGACGAAGGCAGCUGAGUCUCCUCGAAGAACCUGGUGAUGGAAAAUAGAUGGAAUCGGCGUUUCUUGGAUGCUACGGAUCGAGCUCAUGACGAUGGGAGACAAAAUGGGACUUUGGAUGCGGCAUUGUCACGUGAAAAUACAGCCAGUCACGGGACGCAUUCUGAGUCAUCCACAUGUUUCAGGGGAGGUCAACAAACAAACAAACACAG